Molecule: ribosomal RNA, 447 nt
Filed under: uncultured bacterium
Lineage: Bacteria
Description: SSU rRNA
Rfam family: Bacterial small subunit ribosomal RNA
Source: RNAcentral
AGAGCGAACGCUGGCGGCAGGCUUAACACAUGCAAGUCGAGCGGGCGUAGCAAUACGUCAGCGGCAGACGGGUGAGUAACGCGUGGGAACAUACCUUUUGGUUCUGAACAACACAGGGAAACUUGUGCUAAUACCGGAUAAGCCCUUACGGGGAAAGAUUUAUCGCCGAAAGAUCGGCCCGCGUCUGAUUAGCUAGUUGGUGAGGUAACGGCUCACCAAGGCGACGAUCAGUAGCUGGUCUGAGAGGAUGAUCAGCCACAUUGGGACUGAGACACGGCCCAAACUCCUACGGGAGGCAGCAGUGGGGAAUAUUGGACAAUGGGCGCAAGCCUGAUCCAGCCAUGCCGCGUGAGUGAUGAAGGCCCUAGGGUUGUAAAGCUCUUUUGUGCGGGAAGAUAAUGACGGUACCGCAAGAAUAAGCCCGGCUAACUUCGCGCCAGCAGCCGC